GACAGAGGGUGCAAACGUUGUUCGGAAUUACUGGGCGUAAAGCGCGUGUAGGCUGCUCGGAAAGUCGGAUGUGAAAGCCCUGGGCUCAACCUAGGAAGUGCAUUCGAAACUUCUGAGCUGGAGUGCUGGAGAGGAAGGCGGAAUUCUCGGUGUAGAGGUGAAAUUCGUAGAUAUCGAGAGGAACACCGGCGGCGAAGGCGGCCUUCUGGACAGUAACUGACGCUGAGACGCGAAAGCGUGGGGAGCAAACAGG
Molecule: ribosomal RNA, 253 nt
Filed under: uncultured bacterium
Lineage: Bacteria
Description: partial 16S ribosomal RNA
Rfam family: Bacterial small subunit ribosomal RNA
Source: RNAcentral